This 296-nucleotide ribosomal RNA is filed under the name Blastocystis hominis. Its description in RNAcentral is "partial 18S ribosomal RNA". It matches the Rfam family "Eukaryotic small subunit ribosomal RNA", at positions 42 to 348 of the family's 1831-position model. Lineage: Eukaryota; Bigyra; Opalinata; Blastocystidae. The record is from RNAcentral. RNAcentral also lists the same sequence under 1 other name.
GAUUAAGCCAUGCAUGUGUAAGUAUAAAUAAUUCUACUUUGAAACUGCGAAUGGCUCAUUAUAUCAGUUAUAGUUUAUUAGAAAUAGUUUUCUACUUGGAUAACCGUAGUAAUUCUAGGGCUAAUACAUGAGUAAAUCCUCGACUUUUGAAGAGGUGUGUUUAUUAGUAUGAAAACCAUAUGCUUUUGCAUGAUAGUGAGUAAUAAUAACCUUUCAUAUCGCCUGUUUUUAAUAGCGAUAGUUCUUUCAAGUUUCUGCCCUAUCAGCUUUCGAUGGUAGUGUAUUGGACUACCAUG